CAGCAGACACUACUGCUCUGUGAGAUUGUGAAGCCGGCCUCGGCCUAGGCGUUGGUUAGAGUGUGUGUUGCAGGGUGAUUCAGAAUGGUGGACCAGCCUCUGUGGGAGCAGAUAGGAUCCAGCUUUGUGCAGCA
This is a long non-coding RNA of Etheostoma spectabile (orangethroat darter), 134 nucleotides long. RefSeq lists it as uncharacterized. Lineage: Eukaryota; Metazoa; Chordata; Actinopteri; Perciformes; Percidae. The transcript is spliced from 2 exons. The record is from RefSeq and is a predicted model, not a curated record.